Long non-coding RNA from Phyllostomus discolor (pale spear-nosed bat), 182 nucleotides. RefSeq lists it as uncharacterized. The transcript has 3 exons. Lineage: Eukaryota; Metazoa; Chordata; Mammalia; Chiroptera; Phyllostomidae. The record is from RefSeq and is a predicted model, not a curated record.
CUACAUUGCCAAUAUGAAUGAGGUCCCACUCACAUUUGAUGUGACAUCAAACAGAACUGUGGACAUCAAAGGAGCAAAGACCGUGGCUGUUAAAACCAGUAGUCAUGAGAAGACACAUUUCACUGUUGUUCUAGCCUGUUGUGCAGAUGGGACAAAGCUACCACCUAUGAUCAUCUUUAAAA